RNAcentral lists this ribosomal RNA (322 nucleotides) under Insulatricha hippai. RNAcentral's name for it is "partial 16S ribosomal RNA". Lineage: Eukaryota; Metazoa; Arthropoda; Insecta; Diptera; Rangomaramidae. The record is from RNAcentral.
UGAAUGGGUUGAACGAAAUAUUAACUGUAUCAUAAAAAUUUUAUUAAAAUUUUAUUUUUUAGUUAAAAAGCUAAAAUUUUAUUAAAGGACGAGAAGACCCUAUAGAGUUUUAUAUUUAUAAAUUUAUUAUUAAAAAAGAAAUAAAAAAAAAUUAAUUUUUAUAAUUAUUUAAUUGGGGUGAUAAUAAAAUUUAAAUAACUUUUAUAUUUAUAAAACAUUAAUAAAUGAUUAAUUGAUCCAAUUUUAUUGAUUAAAAAAUUAAAUUACCUUAGGGAUAACAGCGUAAUAUUUUUUUAGAGUUCAUAUCGAUAAAAAUGUUUGC